UUGCUCCCUGAUGUUAGCGGCGGACGGGUGAGUAACACGUGGGUAACCUGCCUGUAAGACUGGGAUAACUCCGGGAAACCGGGGCUAAUACCGGAUGGUUGUUUGAACCGCAUGGUUCAGACAUAAAAGGUGGCUUCGGCUACCACUUACAGAUGGACCCGCGGCGCAUUAGCUAGUUGGUGAGGUAACGGCUCACCAAGGCAACGAUGCGUAGCCGACCUGAGAGGGUGAUCGGCCACACUGGGACUGAGACACGGCCCAGACUCCUACGGGAGGCAGCAGUAGGGAAUCUUCCGCAAUGGACGAAAGUCUGACGGAGCAACGCCGCGUGAGUGAUGAAGGUUUUCGGAUCGUAAAGCUCUGUUGUUAGGGAAGAACAAGUGCCGUUCAAAUAGGGCGGCACCUUGACGGUACCUAACCAGAAAGCCACGGCUAACUACGUGCCAGCAGCCGCGGUAAUACGUAGGUGGCAAGCGUUGUCCGGAAUUAUUGGGCGUAAAGGGCUCGCAGGCGGUUUCUUAAGUCUGAUGUGAAAGCCCCCGGCUCAACCGGGGAGGGUCAUUGGAAACUGGGGAACUUGAGUGCAGAAGAGGAGAGUGGAAUUCCACGUGUAGCGGUGA
This 620-nucleotide ribosomal RNA is filed under the name Bacillus velezensis. RNAcentral's name for it is "bacterial SSU rRNA". It matches the Rfam family "Bacterial small subunit ribosomal RNA", at positions 79 to 684 of the family's 1533-position model. The record is from RNAcentral. Lineage: Bacteria; Bacillati; Bacillota; Bacilli; Caryophanales; Bacillaceae. RNAcentral also lists the same sequence under 1 other name.